UACGUAGGUGGCUAGCGUUGUCCGGAUUUACUGGGCGUAAAGAGCGCGCAGGCGGUCGUUCAAGUCGAGUGUGAAAGCCCCCGGCUCAACUGGGGAGGGUCACUCGAUACUGAUCGACUCGAAGGCAGGAGAGGGAAGCGGAAUUCCCGGUGUAGUGGUGAAAUGCGUAGAUAUCGGGAGGAACACCAGUGGCGAAAGCGGCUCUCUGGGGGCGAUCUGACGCUGAGGCGCGAAAGCGUGGGGAGCAAACCGG
This 253-nucleotide ribosomal RNA is filed under the name uncultured bacterium. Its description in RNAcentral is "partial 16S ribosomal RNA". It matches the Rfam family "Bacterial small subunit ribosomal RNA", at positions 524 to 776 of the family's 1533-position model. The record is from RNAcentral.